Molecule: ribosomal RNA, 279 nt
Filed under: uncultured bacterium
Lineage: Bacteria
Description: partial 16S ribosomal RNA
Rfam family: Bacterial small subunit ribosomal RNA
Source: RNAcentral
UGCCAGCCGCCGCGGUAACACGUACCGGACAAACGUUAUUCGGAAUUACUGGGCUUAAAGAGUACGUAGGCGGCCUUGUAGGUGAGAUGUGAAAUCCCACGGCUCAACCGUGGAAUUGCGUUUCAAACCACAAGGCUUGAGGGAGACAGGGGUGAGCGGAACUGAUGGUGGAGCGGUGAAAUGCGUUGAUAUCAUCAGGAACACCGGUGGCGAAGGCGGCUCACUGGGUCUCUUCUGACGCUGAGGUACGAAAGCUAGGGUAGCGAACGGGAUUAGAUA